ACGCUGGCGGCGUGCUUAACACAUGCAAGUCGAACGUGAAAUUCGUCUUCGGACGGAGAGUAAAGUGGCGCACGGGUGAGUAACGCGUGGGUAAUCUACCCCGAGGCUCGGGAUAACCAACCGAAAGGCUGGCUAAUACCGAAUAAUGUCUCUUCACUCAAGUGAUGUGACAAUAGGAGGCUCUGCUUCCGCCACGGGAUGAGUCCGCGUACCAUUAGCUAGUUGGUAGGGUAAUGGCCUACCAAGGCUACGAUGGUUAGCUGGUCUGAGAGGACGAUCAGCCACACUGGAACUGAGACACGGUCCAGACUCCUACGGGAGGCAGCAGUGGGGAAUAUUGCGCAAUGGGGGAAACCCUGACGCAGCGACGCCGCGUGAGUGAAGAAGGCCCUUGGGUCGUAAAGCUCUGUCGACAGGGAAGAAAUUACUUUGUAUUAAUAGUGCCUCUGCAUUGACGGUACCUGUAGAGGAAGCACCGGCUAACUCUGUGCCAGCAGCCGCGGUAAUACGGGGGGUGCAAGCGUUAUUCGGAAUUAUUGGGCGUAAAGGGCGCGUAGGCGGUCUUGUUUGUCGGUCAGAUGUGAAAGCCCGGGGCUCAACCCUGGAAGUGCAUUUGAAACAGCAAGACUUGAAUACUGGAGAGGAGAGCGGAAUUCCUGGUGUAGAGGUGAAAUUCGUAGAUAUCAGGAGGAACACCGAUGGCGAAGGCAGCUCUCUGGACAGAUAUUGACGCUGAGGCGCGAAGGUGUGGGUAGCAAACGGGAUUAGAUACCCCGGUAGUCCACACAGUAAACGUUGUUCACUCGGUGUAGCGGAUAUUAAAAUCUGCUGCGCCCAAGCUAACGUGGUAAGUGAACCGCCUGGGGAGUACGGUCGCAAGACUAAAACUCAAAGGAAUUGACGGGGGCCCGCACAAGCGGUGGAGCAUGUGGUUUAAUUCGACAACGCGAAGAACCUUACCUGGAUUUGACAUCCUGUGAAUCCCUUGGAAACUUGGGAGUGCCGGAGUGCCUUCGGGAACACAGUGACAGGUGCUGCAUGGCUGUCGUCAGCUCGUGUCGUGAGAUGUUUGGUUAAGUCCAGCAACGAGCGCAACCCUUAUCUUUAGUUGCCAGCGCGUAAUGGCGGGAACUCUAGAGAGACUGCCCGGGUUAACCGGGAGGAAGGCGGGGAUGACGUCAAGUCCUCAUGGCCCUUAUAUCCAGGGCUACACACGUGCUACAAUGGUAAGUACACAGAGGGCAGCGAGCCGGCAAUGGUGAGCGAAUCCCUAAAGCUUAUCUCAGUCCGGAUUGGAGUCUGCAACUCGACUCCAUGAAGUUGGAAUCGCUAGUAAUCGCGGAUCAGCAUGCCGCGGUGAAUAUGUUCCCGGGCCUUGUACACACCGCCCGUCACACCAUGGGAGUUGAUUAUACCCGACGUCGCUGGGCUAACCCUUCGGGGAAGCAGGCGCCUAAGGUAUGGUU
Molecule: ribosomal RNA, 1466 nt
Filed under: uncultured prokaryote
Description: partial 16S ribosomal RNA
Rfam family: Bacterial small subunit ribosomal RNA
Source: RNAcentral